This is a long non-coding RNA of Magnolia sinica, 292 nucleotides long. RefSeq lists it as uncharacterized. Lineage: Eukaryota; Viridiplantae; Streptophyta; Magnoliopsida; Magnoliales; Magnoliaceae. The record is from RefSeq and is a predicted model, not a curated record. The transcript is spliced from 2 exons.
UGGAAUAAAUUUAUCAGGCCCACGGAGAAAGGUAAAUUUUGGGGCUGUACUUAUAAGUUCUUACUCUAACAAUUUUGGGCUUACAGUUCUUUCUUUUUUUAUUUGUUUGCAGAUGAAAGGCUUAAUCUGAACUGCCCAACCUGUGGACCCGACUUCAGAUAUGGUACAUCACAAUCAGAUUAGUUUGACAUCAUGAUUUCUUAUUAAUGGACACUCUUGGCUUGGAAAGCAAGGUUGCGUGCUAGGGGCCAUCGAACAAUCCCCACUUCAAUUGAUGAGCUUUUCCGUGUUG